AGUGAACGCUGGCGGUAGGCCUAACACAUGCAAGUCGAACGGCAGCACAGUAAGAGCUUGCUCUUACGGGUGGCGAGUGGCGGACGGGUGAGGAAUACAUCGGAAUCUACUUUUUCGUGGGGGAUAACGUAGGGAAACUUACGCUAAUACCGCAUACGACCUACGGGUGAAAGCAGGGGAUCUUCGGACCUUGCGCGAUUGAAUGAGCCGAUGUCGGAUUAGCUAGUUGGCGGGGUAAAGGCCCACCAAGGCGACGAUCCGUAGCUGGUCUGAGAGGAUGAUCAGCCACACUGAAACUGAGACACGGUCCAGACCCCUACGGGGGGAAGCAGUGGGGAAUAUUGGACAAUGGGCGCAAGCCUGAUCCAGCCAUACCGCGUGGGUGAAGAAGGCCUUCGGGUGGUAAAGCCCUUUUGUUGGGAAAGAAAAGCAGCAGGUUAAUACCCCGCUGUUCGGACGGUACCCAAAGAAUAAGCACCGGCUAACUUCGU
Molecule: ribosomal RNA, 491 nt
Filed under: uncultured bacterium
Lineage: Bacteria
Description: partial 16S ribosomal RNA
Rfam family: Bacterial small subunit ribosomal RNA
Source: RNAcentral